RNAcentral lists this ribosomal RNA (1233 nucleotides) under Triticum aestivum (bread wheat). RNAcentral describes it as "partial small subunit ribosomal RNA". The record is from RNAcentral. Lineage: Eukaryota; Viridiplantae; Streptophyta; Magnoliopsida; Poales; Poaceae.
AUGGGUGGUGUGACGUCCUCGGUGGCCGCUAAGUUCGCCUUCUUCCCGCCCGACCCACCGUCUUACGGCGUGGUGGACGAGGAGCCGCCUCCGCCGGGCGUGGCUCCGGCGGGGAGUGACGCUGCAGCACUUUCUAGAAGGGUGUUGAUGACGGGGGUUCUGUGGAGGGAGGGGGUGGAGGCACGUCGCCUCCGGACGCGGCGGGGCACGGAGAUCAUUGCUAUGUAUGUAGGGUGUCCCAAGGCGAGUCUCACCGUGCUGUACUCGCACGGCAAUGCCGCCGACCUCGGCAAGAUGUAUGAGCUCUUCAUAGAGUUCAGCGCUCGCCCCCACGUCAACAUCAUGGGGUAUGAUUAUUCUGGUUAUGGACGGUCAUCAGGCAAGGCAAGUGAAGCUAAUACAUUUGCUGACAUAGAGUCUGCAUAUAAAUGCCUUGUGGAGGUUUAUGGGACUAGGGAAGAAGACAUUGUUCUUUAUGGUCAAUCUGUCGGUAGUGGCCCCACUGUUGAUUUAGCUGCUCACUUGCAUCACAUAAGAGCAGUUGUUCUGCAUAGUCCCAUACUUUCUGGCCUGCGUGUCAUGUAUUCUGUGAAGAAAACGUACUGGUUUGACAUAUAUAAGAACAUCGAGAAAAUUCCCCUUGUUAAAUGCCCUGUUCUGGUGAUUCAUGGUACAAGUGACGAUGUUGUUGAUUUUUCCCAUGGAAAGCGGAUAUGGGAGCUGAGCCAACAGAAGUAUGAGCCUCUGUGGAUCGAGGGAGGCGACCACUGUAACUUGGAGACCUUCCCAGUGUACAUAAGGCAUCUGAAGAAGUUUCUGUCGGCUGUAGAGAAGUUGCCUGCUGGAAAAGAAGCAGCACCUGAGAGUGAGAAGUUGCUAGCUGGAAAUGAAAAACCUUCAGAUAGCGUCGCUCUUUCUGAGCCGCAUUUGAUGACCUCGCAGAGGUUAGAGCCAUCGAGGAAGAGCUCAAGGCAUGAGCAGCCUCCUAGGCUGAGCACUGAACGUGUAGAUAAACACCGUCGAAGUACAGACGUCAGGGAAAAGGCAAGGUCCAUCACACAUAAGGAGAGAUCAAGGAGAAGUGUCGAUACAUUUGACAGGACAAGAGAUGAAAAUGAACAGACAGACAAACCAAGGAAAAGCAUUGACAGGCUUGGCGAGAUGAUUAGAUCAAUGGGCCUCUGCAAUGUUGAUUGCUUCAAAGAGCCUUCUCGAAAAACUGAGGCUUGCUGA